This 253-nucleotide ribosomal RNA is filed under the name uncultured bacterium. RNAcentral describes it as "partial 16S ribosomal RNA". It matches the Rfam family "Bacterial small subunit ribosomal RNA", at positions 524 to 776 of the family's 1533-position model. The record is from RNAcentral.
UACGGGGGGGGCAAGCGUUGUUCGGAAUUACUGGGCGUAAAGGGCGCGUAGGCGGUUUGUUAAGUUGGAUGUGAAAACUCUGGGCUCAACCCAGAGCCUGCAUCCAAUACUGACAGGCUAGAGUUCUGGAGGGGAUAGCGGAAUUCCUGGUGUAGCGGUGAAAUGCGUAGAUAUCAGGAGGAACACCGGUGGCGAAGGCGGCUAUCUGGACAGAGUCUGACGCUGAGGCGCGAAAGCGUGGGGAGCGAACAGG